CAAACAAAAUAUGAAUCAGUAAAGCAGAAAAUGAGUGGGAUGGAAGAAUAUAUAUAACGUUCAGCAGAAAAUCAAGUACUAUAAACAGUAAACAGUAAUACCACCAUUAGUGAUUUUUAUACUUUUAAAGAAUGUUUCCUUUUUCCUUUGGGAAACUACAUAAGUUAUGUUUUAGAAUCUGCAUCUCACAUUUCCAUGGAAAAGGUUUCAGUUUCUACUUAAUAGAAUGCAUAUGUACUUGUCCAUUUUGAUCCUUAAAUUGUAAUUUAAGACUGACGAUAAAUGCCCAUUCAAUAUAGUCCAUGGAUAUGAGGGCUAUGGGUUGGGACUUUCUGGUGUACUUUGCAUAUACAUUCUGAAAAAGUCGUCCACAACAAACUUUAUGUAACAAAUGCAUUUAUUUACCCACAUACAGAUAGAAAAUAUUCAAAUUCUGACAUUUCUUCCCCGUAAUGUAACCAUUCCCAAAUUUCUUGAGCACGUUCUUUUUUAAUAUGUUUACAUAUAAAUAGUUCCGGUAUCACUGCUUUAGGUGGUUUCGUGAAUUUCAAUUGUUCAUAACUAUUAAAUUUAUCCGCUGUUAGUUUUAAACGUGGCGGCUUAAUAGACUGGUAGCUAUCAGUUUCUGUAUUUAAACGUGGUCUAUACUCAGAAACUCGUCUAGGAUAAAGUGAAAACCGCCUGCCAUGACGGGAGGCGUUGGUAUCCCCCACCUCCGUCUCAACAUCGCUAUCCUCAUUAUCACUAUAUACAGUUCUGAUUAUUUUUUCUACUUCCUGUCGGAGUUCCAUAGCUUCAGGAUGUUGAACUGUUUUCAUUGGUAGAUAACGGCAUGAUCGGGUUCUUAUUUUGUCCGUAUCCAAACCCAUUGUUUUUGAGCGCCCAAUUGGCGCUGAACGUGCAUACAAUUUCCUAAAUUUAUCAGAAUCUGAAUUGAUUUCUACAGGUAUUUGCUUCAGUAAAGAUUUUGACCAUUUUGUGUCCACGGCAUUUGUAUCAAAAUGUACAUGCGCACUAAGUUUGACCUUGCUAUCAUCGUAUCCAAGGUCGUCAUUAGCAUACGGCUCUUGAAACAUGGCCCUGAGGUCCGUUCUGUAUUUGUUAUCAAUCGAGUUUUUAGCUUUAUCAAUUGGUAAGAGGUAACUGAUACCCUUGCUUACUUUCUCUCUUGUUAUUGCAUCUUUCAUAUGCGGAAUCGGUGGUAAAUCAGGCCAUUCGUAUUCAAGUAAUUCAACAUGAUAUUCCGGAGUUGAUUCCUCCUGUUUUGAUUUUCCUCUUCUUCCGGUUCUAGUAAUAGCUGCUGGACUUGUCUUUGGUCUAGCUAGUUGUAAAUCUGGGCCUGAUAUAUCGCCCGGCAUUAUCUCACUGGAAAUAUAAAAAGGAUCAUAAACAAGUGAACGAAUGAGUACAAAU
This 1413-nucleotide long non-coding RNA is filed under the name Mytilus galloprovincialis (Mediterranean mussel). Lineage: Eukaryota; Metazoa; Mollusca; Bivalvia; Mytilida; Mytilidae. The record is from RNAcentral.